CCCUUAGAUGUCCUGGGCUGCACGCGCGCUACACUGAUGUGUCCAGUAAGCACCUAACCUCUUCCGAAAGGAACGGGUAACCUUUGCAAAGCACAUCGUGAUGGGGAUAGAUUAUUGCAAUUAUUAGUCUUGAACGAGGAAUUCCUAGUAAGCACAAGUCAUCAACUUGUGUUGAUUACGUCCCUGCCCUUUGUACACACCGCCCGUCGCUCCUACCGAUUGAAUGUUCCGGUGAGCUCUUCGGACUGCGCGGUCUGCAGUUUCUGCGUUCCGUGCGGAAAGUUGCGCAAACCUUAACAUUUAGAGGAAGGAGAAGUCGUAACA
This 324-nucleotide ribosomal RNA is filed under the name uncultured eukaryote. Its description in RNAcentral is "partial 18S ribosomal RNA". It matches the Rfam family "Eukaryotic small subunit ribosomal RNA", at positions 1470 to 1796 of the family's 1831-position model. The record is from RNAcentral.